UUGGAUGUGUGCGGCGUCGGUUCGCUCCUGGCGCGUCAGCGAAAUGUCCUGCCGGUGGCGGUUUUGGUCGGCCGUCGGCCCCUGGCUCAGUGUCGAGGCGGACCGGCACGUUUACUUUGAACAAAUUAGAGUGCUCAAAGCAGGCAAGCAAAGUGUGACGGGAGGCCCGGCCGCCUGAAUACUGUGUGCAUAGAAUAACUGAAUAGGACGUCGGUUCCAGAGGUUAAGUGGUUUUCGGAACGACGUAAUGAUUAACAGGGACGGGCGGGGGCAUUCGUAUUGCGACGUUAGAGGUGAAAUUCUUAGAUCGUCGCAAGACGAACCGAAGCGAAAGCGUUUGCCAAGUACGUCCCCGUUGAUCAAGAACGAAAGUUAGAGGUUCGAAGGCGAUCAGAUACCGCCCUAGUUCUAACCAUAAACGAUGUCAGCCAGCGAUCCACUAACGUUCCUCCGAUGACUUAGUGGGCAGCCGGGAAACCAAGCUUUUGGAUUCCAGGGGAAGUAUGGUUGCAAAGCUGAAACUUAAAGGAAUUGACGGAAGGGCACCACCAGGAGUGGAGCCUGCGGCUUAAUUUGACUCAACACGGGAAAACUCACCAGGCCCGGACACCGGAGGGAUUGACAGAUUGAGAGCUCUUUCUU
This 642-nucleotide ribosomal RNA is filed under the name Cacopsylla albigena. Its description in RNAcentral is "bacterial SSU rRNA". It matches the Rfam family "Eukaryotic small subunit ribosomal RNA", at positions 641 to 1263 of the family's 1831-position model. RNAcentral also lists the same sequence under 3 other names. The record is from RNAcentral. Lineage: Eukaryota; Metazoa; Arthropoda; Insecta; Hemiptera; Psyllidae.